Molecule: ribosomal RNA, 496 nt
Filed under: uncultured bacterium
Lineage: Bacteria
Description: bacterial SSU rRNA
Rfam family: Bacterial small subunit ribosomal RNA
Source: RNAcentral
AUCAUGGCUCAGGGAUGAACGCUGGCGGCGUUGCUUAACACAUGCAAGUCGAACGAAGCACUUUUACAGAUUCUUCGGAAUGAAGUUUAGUGACUGAGUGGCGACGGGUGAGUAACGCGUGGGUAACCUGCCUCACACAGGGGGAUAACAGUUGGAAACGGCUGCUAAUACCGCAUAAGCGCACAGUACCGCAUGGUACAGUGUGAAAAACUCCGGUGGUGUGAGAUGGACCCGCGUCUGAUUAGCUAGUUGGCAGGGCAACGGCCUACCAAGGCGACGAUCAGUAGCCGACCUGAGAGGGUGACCGGCCACAUUGGGACUGAGACACGGCCCAAAACUCCUACGGGAGGCAGCAGUGGGGAAUAUUGCACGAAUGGGGGAAACCCUGAUGCAGCGACGCCGCGUGAGCGAAGAAGUAUUUCGGUAUGUAAAGUCUCGUAUCAGCAGGGAAGAAGAAAUGACGGUACCUGACUAAGAAGCACCGGCUAAAUACGUG